GCUACCCAGUAGAAUAGAAAGAUGAACCUCUAGGUGCAGUUAACAUGUGAUACAGUCCUACUAUCGUGGAUCCCUACAGGACGGAGGUCAUGGACAACUCGUCAAACUCCAUCGUCUGUCAUAUGUCAAGAUUUAUUCGACUUGAGUUCGAUAGUGGAAAACUCUUUUUCCACUUUAUAUUACUGCCCUGGCCAAGGUCUUAGAACUCAGUCUAACAAAUCACAUAGGAUCACUCCUCUUCUAUCAAGGUCGA
RNAcentral lists this long non-coding RNA (253 nucleotides) under Phoenix dactylifera (date palm). RNAcentral describes it as "long non-coding RNA (PDAC_LNC022368)". Lineage: Eukaryota; Viridiplantae; Streptophyta; Magnoliopsida; Arecales; Arecaceae. The record is from RNAcentral.